This 586-nucleotide ribosomal RNA is filed under the name fungal sp. KF-2. RNAcentral's name for it is "LSU rRNA". It matches the Rfam family "Eukaryotic large subunit ribosomal RNA", at positions 56 to 656 of the family's 3401-position model. Lineage: Eukaryota; Fungi. The record is from RNAcentral.
GAAAAGAAACCAACAGGGAUUGCCUCAGUAACGGCGAGUGAAGCGGCAACAGCUCAAAUUUGAAAUCUGGCUCUUUCAGGGUCCGAGUUGUAAUUUGUAGAAGAUGCUUCGGGUGUGGCUCCGGUCUAAGUUCCUUGGAACAGGACGUCAUAGAGGGUGAGAAUCCCGUAUGUGACUGGUUGCCUUCGCCCAUGUGAAGCUCUUUCGACGAGUCGAGUUGUUUGGGAAUGCAGCUCAAAAUGGGUGGUAAAUUUCAUCUAAAGCUAAAUAUUGGCCAGAGACCGAUAGCGCACAAGUAGAGUGAUCGAAAGAUGAAAAGCACUUUGGAAAGAGAGUUAAACAGUACGUGAAAUUGUUGAAAGGGAAGCGCUUGCAACCAGACUUGCGCGCGGUCGAUCAUCCGAGGUUCUCCCCGGUGCACUCGAUCGCGUUCAGGCCAGCAUCGGUUUCGGUGGUUGGAUAAAGACCUUGGGAAUGUAGCUCUCUUCGGGGAGUGUUAUAGCCCUCGGUGCAAUGCAGCCUACCGGGACCGAGGACCGCGCUUCGGCUAGGAUGCUGGCGUAAUGGUUGUAAGCGACCCGUCUUG